Molecule: ribosomal RNA, 422 nt
Filed under: uncultured Sediminibacterium sp.
Lineage: Bacteria; Pseudomonadati; Bacteroidota; Chitinophagia; Chitinophagales; Chitinophagaceae
Description: bacterial SSU rRNA
Rfam family: Bacterial small subunit ribosomal RNA
Source: RNAcentral
UAAGGAAUAUUGGUCAAUGGACGCAAGUCUGAACCAGCCAUGCCGCGUGAAGGAUGAAGGUCCUCUGGAUUGUAAACUUCUUUUAUAGGGGGCGAAAAAAGGUCUUUCUAGAUCACUUGACAGUACCCUAUGAAUAAGCACCGGCUAACUCCGUGCCAGCAGCCGCGGUAAUACGGAGGGUGCAAGCGUUAUCCGGAUUCACUGGGUUUAAAGGGUGCGUAGGCGGGUAGGUAAGUCAGAGGUGAAAUCCUGGAGCUUAACUCCAGAACUGCCUUUGAUACUAUCUAUCUUGAAUAAGGUGGAGGUAAGCGGAAUAUGUCAUGUAGCGGUGAAAUGCAUAGAUAUGACAUAGAACACCUAUUGCGAAGGCAGCUUACUACGCCUAUAUUGACGCUGAGGCACGAAAGCGUGGGGAUCAAACA